This 200-nucleotide unclassified non-coding RNA is filed under the name soil metagenome. RNAcentral's name for it is "partial contains internal transcribed spacer 2 and large subunit ribosomal RNA". The record is from RNAcentral.
CAACCCUCAAGCCUAGCUUGCGAUUGGACCUUUCGUCGUCACAAGACGGGUCCUAAAGCCAAUGACGGAGUCUGUCGGGACCCUAGAUGCAACGAGCUCUCUACGACAGCACGCAUCAAAGGCGCCGAUGGCUCUGGUCUCAACCAUCUCUUUAUAACAAGGUUGACCUCGGAUCAGGUAGGGAUACCCGCUGAACUUAA